This 501-nucleotide ribosomal RNA is filed under the name uncultured Glomus. RNAcentral's name for it is "SSU rRNA". It matches the Rfam family "Eukaryotic small subunit ribosomal RNA", at positions 569 to 1075 of the family's 1831-position model. The record is from RNAcentral. Lineage: Eukaryota; Fungi; Glomeromycota; Glomeromycetes; Glomerales; Glomeraceae.
AGCAGCCGCGGUAAUUCCAGCUCCAAUAGCGUAUAUUAAAGUUGCUGCAGUUAAAAAGCUCGUAGUUGAAUUUCGGGACCAUCAUGUCGGUCGUGCCUCGGUACGUACUGGCAUUGUUGGUUUCUACCUUCUGACGAACCAUGAUGUCAUUUAUUUGGUGUCGUGGGAAAUCAGGACUGUUACUUUGAAAAAAUUAGAGUGUUUAAAGCAGGCUCACGCUUGAAUACAUUAGCAUGGAAUAAUGAAAUAGGACGUUUGAUUCUAUUUUGUUGGUUUCUAGGAUCGACGUAAUGAUUAAUAGGGAUAGUUGGGGGCAUUAGUAUUCAAUUGUCAGAGGUGAAAUUCUUGGAUUUAUUGAAGACUAACUACUGCGAAAGCAUUUGCCAAGGAUGUUUUCAUUAAUCAAGAACGAAAGUUAGGGGAUCGAAGACGAUCAGAUACCGUCGUAGUCUUAACUAUAAACUAUGCCGACUAGGGAUCGGAUGAUGUAAUUUUUAAUGA